UUGCUCUUAUGAAGUUAGCGGCGGACGGGUGAGUAACACGUGGGUAACCUGCCCAUAAGACUGGGAUAACUCCGGGAAACCGGGGCUAAUACCGGAUAACAUUUUGAACCGCAUGGUUCGAAAUUGAAAGGCGGCUUCGGCUGUCACUUAUGGAUGGACCCGCGUCGCAUUAGCUAGUUGGUGAGGUAACGGCUCACCAAGGCAACGAUGCGUAGCCGACCUGAGAGGGUGAUCGGCCACACUGGGACUGAGACACGGCCCAGACUCCUACGGGAGGCAGCAGUAGGGAAUCUUCCGCAAUGGACGAAAGUCUGACGGAGCAACGCCGCGUGAGUGAUGAAGGCUUUCGGGUCGUAAAACUCUGUUGUUAGGGAAGAACAAGUGCUAGUUGAAUAAGCUGGCACCUUGACGGUACCUAACCAGAAAGCCACGGCUAACUACGUGCCAGCAGCCGCGGUAAUACGUAGGUGGCAAGCGUUAUCCGGAAUUAUUGGGCGUAAAGCGCGCGCAGGUGGUUUCUUAAGUCUGAUGUGAAAGCCCACGGCUCAACCGUGGAGGGUCAUUGGAAACUGGGAGACUUGAGUGCAGAAGAGGAAAGYGGAAUUCCAUGUGUAGCGGUGAAAUGCGUAGAGAUAUGGAGGAACACCAGUGGCGAAGGCGACUUUUCUGGUCUGUAACUGACACUGAGGCGCGAAGCGUGGGGAGCAAACAGGAWUUAGAUACCCUGGGUAGUYCACGCCGUAAACGAUGAGUGCUAAGUGUUAGAGGGUUUCCGCCUUUAGUGCUGAAAGUUAACGCAUUAAGCACUCCGCCUGGGGAGUACGGCCGCARGGCUGAAACUCAAAGAG
RNAcentral lists this ribosomal RNA (848 nucleotides) under Bacillus cereus. RNAcentral's name for it is "bacterial SSU rRNA". The record is from RNAcentral. Lineage: Bacteria; Bacillati; Bacillota; Bacilli; Caryophanales; Bacillaceae.